This 232-nucleotide ribosomal RNA is filed under the name uncultured bacterium. RNAcentral describes it as "partial 16S ribosomal RNA". It matches the Rfam family "Bacterial small subunit ribosomal RNA", at positions 99 to 334 of the family's 1533-position model. The record is from RNAcentral.
CGGACGGGUGAGUAAUGUAUGGGGAUCUGCCUGAUGGCGGGGGAUAACUACUGGAAACGGUAGCUAAUACCGCAUAACGUCGCAAGACCAAAGAGGGGGACCUUCGGGCCUCUUGCCAUCGGAUGUGCCCAGAUGGGAUUAGCUAGUAGGUGGGGUAACGGCUUACCUAGGCGACGAUCCCUAGCUGGUCUGAGAGGAUGAUCAGCCACACUGGGACUGAGACACGGCCCAG